This 1062-nucleotide ribosomal RNA is filed under the name Triticum aestivum (bread wheat). RNAcentral's name for it is "partial small subunit ribosomal RNA". The record is from RNAcentral. Lineage: Eukaryota; Viridiplantae; Streptophyta; Magnoliopsida; Poales; Poaceae.
AUGCCGGAGCACACACGUGUCCUAGACGACAUCUGGGAGUUGCACCGGGUAGCGGUUGAUACAGUCGGCCCACGGCCCCCCAUCGUCGCCGGUGGCGGGCUUGAUGCACACCCACGCGACGCUGUUGCACUCGAAUCCGGCGCCGAAGGAGACCAUCCACACCCGGUCACCCUUCUUCAUACGGCCCUUGGCCUCCGUGUAGGCCAGCUCGUAGAGCACCGAGCUGCUGGACGUGUUGCCGACCCUGUGCAGCGUCAUGCGGGACGCCUCCACGUCGUCGUCGGAGAGCCCGAGCCCGUGCUGAGCCUCGUUGAUCACGCUCCGGCCGCCGGCGUGGAUGCAGAAGUGUUGGAACGCCGUGCGGAAGUCCGGCCUGUAGAGCGUCGCCUCGGCACGUCGGCCGGGGAGGAGCAGGAGGAGGAGGAGGAGCUUACGCUUGAGCACGGACAGCGCCACCCGGACCUGCUCGGAGGCUGGCAGGACGAGUGGGGCGAAGUCGGCGACGUUGUCCCUCAGCGCGCCGCCGGCGGUGGCCGGGAGAUUCCUGGAGAGGCGGAUGGCGGUGUUUCCCUUGUCAUCCUCGUCCAUGUACACACACCCGUAGUCCUUGUCCCGUGCGGAGGUGACGGUGCGUACCACGGGGCCCAGCCGGAAACGCGCGCCCUCCGGGGAGUUGGAGAGGAUCAUGGCGGCGGCACCCAUGCGGAAGAGGCAGUUGGGGAGGAGCAUGGAGGGGUCCGUGCCCGUGUAGUAUGUCGACGACAGGAUCUCCGUGGACACGAUGAGAGCGCGCGUGCCAGGCCGCGCCACCCGGAGGAUGUUCCUGACGAGGCCCACCGAUACGAGCGCGGCGCUGCACCCCAUCCCAGACAGGUUGAAGCUCCGGACGUCGGCGCGGAGCUUAUACCUGUUGACGACCAUGUCGGCGAACGAGGGAGUCGGCGCCAGGACGCUGCAGUUCAGGACGAGCACGUCCACGUCCGAGGGCUUCAAGAAGCUCGUGGUCUUGGCGAACGCCUCGUCGAUGGCGGAGAAGAUGACCAGCUCGGCCUCCGCCCGUGA